CUCCUCAGCGGCCCUAAUCAUGUGGCCGGGUCCCAGGUAUCGGAAGGCUGAUGUUGCUACAUCCGAAGCCCCCGCCCAGCGCUUUGGCGGGGGGGAAGGGCCCCUCUUUUAUGGUGCCGGGCGUACGCCUUGCGUCAUAACGGGGAUUUCGGUGGCCGGGGCCCCGGCCACCAAAAUCCCCGUUAUAGGCUAUAUAGGCUAUUACGGGUUAUAUAACCUAUAUCCUUGCCUAUAGGCUAUAGGCUAGGUUAUAGGCCCGUUAUAGGCUAUAGCUGGCAACAUAACGAGCCGGCAUGCGGCCCCGUUGCAAGGGUCCUUGCAACGGGGCAUAACAGCCCCCAUGCAAGGUCCGAGCCCUGUUAUAGCGGGGUGCUGCCAUAACCAGGACAGUCAAUACUGUCCUUGUUAUGGCAAUACAAGGCCAUGGUAAGGGCAGUAUGGCAGGUCAAGGCCAUAACAAGGACUGUUACGAUCCCAUAACAGGGCCAUAACAGUCCCUAUUAUGGUACCGGCUAUAGUCCUUGCACGGGAUAUAGGGCAGGGUCGGCGCAGUCUCGUUUCCUCCCUGCCAAGUCACAACGUACGGCUUGGCCCGUUUGUUGUGGUAACCGACAAACUUCUGGUUUGUGGAGGGUUCGGCGAUGGCUUGUUUCUGGCCCUCCCUGGGUUGCCGCUUUUCCGGUAUUUUGCCCGAGUUUGGUAUCCUAGGCCCUCUUCUUUCGGGAGGACUGGCUGUUGUAAAUCCGUUCGGCCUAUUUAUGUUUUUGAUCCCUCCGGGACGAAAACUGUUAGCAGGGGAUACGGUUAGUCUUUUUGCUCCCUCCGUAAACAAAGGCGAUACACGCCCGGUAAAGGUCGCUACGGCGACACGGAUGCUUAACAAUCAAAAAUAUCUCCUAAAUG
RNAcentral lists this long non-coding RNA (903 nucleotides) under Androctonus crassicauda. Lineage: Eukaryota; Metazoa; Arthropoda; Arachnida; Scorpiones; Buthidae. The record is from RNAcentral.